Molecule: ribosomal RNA, 426 nt
Filed under: uncultured bacterium
Lineage: Bacteria
Description: bacterial SSU rRNA
Rfam family: Bacterial small subunit ribosomal RNA
Source: RNAcentral
GGGCCCGCACAAGCGGUGGAGCAUGUGGUUUAAUUCGAUGAUACGCGAGGAACCUUACCAGGGCUUAAAUGUAGUGGGACAGGUCUAGAGAUAGACCCUUCUUCGGACUCAUUACAAGGUGCUGCAUGGUUGUCGUCAGCUCGUGCCGUGAGGUGUCAGGUUAAGUCCUAUAACGAGCGCAACCCCCAUCGUUAGUUGCCAACGAGUAAUGUCGGGAACUCUAACGAAACUGCCGGUGCAAACCGUGAGGAAGGUGGGGAUGACGUCAAAUCAUCACGGCCCUUACGUCCUGGGCUACACACGUGCUACAAUGGUCGGUACAGAGAGCAGCCACUACGCGAAUAGGAGCUAAUCUUUAAAAACCGGUCUCAGUUCGGAUCGCAGUCUGCAACUCGACUGCGUGAAGCUGGAAUCGCUAGUAAUCGG